Molecule: ribosomal RNA, 120 nt
Filed under: Colletotrichum trifolii
Lineage: Eukaryota; Fungi; Ascomycota; Sordariomycetes; Glomerellales; Glomerellaceae
Also listed under: 1 other name
Source: RNAcentral
ACAUGCGACCAUACCCACUGGAGAACUCGGGAUCCCGUCCGCUCUCCCAUCGAUAAACCAGUGAGGGCCGGAGUAGUAGUUGGGUCGGUGACGACCAGCGAAUGCCCGGUGUUGCAUGUC